RNAcentral lists this ribosomal RNA (492 nucleotides) under uncultured bacterium. RNAcentral's name for it is "partial 16S ribosomal RNA". It matches the Rfam family "Bacterial small subunit ribosomal RNA", at positions 29 to 507 of the family's 1533-position model. The record is from RNAcentral.
AGUGAACGCUGGCGGUAGGCCUAACACAUGCAAGUCGAACGGCAGCACAGUAAGAGCUUGCUCUUACGGGUGGCGAGUGGCGGACGGGUGAGGAAUACAUCGGAAUCUACUUUUUCGUGGGGGAUAACGUAGGGAAACUUACGCUAAUACCGCAUACGACCUACGGGUGAAAGCAGGGGAUCUUCGGACCUUGCGCGAUUGAAUGAGCCGAUGUCGGAUUAGCUAGUUGGCGGGGUAAAGGCCCACCAAGGCGACGAUCCGUAGCUGGUCUGAGAGGAUGAUCAGCCACACUGGCACUGAGACACGGUCCAGACUCCUACGGUAGGCAGCAGUGGGGAAUAUUGGACAAUGGGCGCAAGCCUGAUCCAGCCAUACCGCGUGGGUGAAGAAGGCCUUCGGGUUGUAAAGCCCUUUUGUGGGGAAAGAAAAGCAGCAGGUUAAUACCCAGCUGUUCUGACGGUACCCAAAGAAUAAGCACCGGCUAACUUUGUG